Molecule: long non-coding RNA, 242 nt
Filed under: Elaeis guineensis (African oil palm)
Lineage: Eukaryota; Viridiplantae; Streptophyta; Magnoliopsida; Arecales; Arecaceae
Description: long non-coding RNA (EGUI_LNC066544)
Source: RNAcentral
GUGGAGUCAAAUAUGAAGUAUGGUAGAUUGGAGUAAAAGAAUGGAGAAUGGAAGCACAGAGGAUGCCGUAUGGAGGAUUGAGUUCAAAUAUGGAGUCAGAAGAACUUAAGACUCCUUAAGGGGGUAGAUUCCAGUUCAUAUGGAAUCAAUUUUUGGAAGAAAGCAUGCGAGUAAGUAUUCACUUACUUGGAGGAUCCCCAGGAGUAGAGUUUUAUAGAUGAAGAUGGACCUGUCGUCUGUAG